Mytilus californianus (California mussel) is the source of this 564-nucleotide long non-coding RNA. RefSeq lists it as uncharacterized. The record is from RefSeq and is a predicted model, not a curated record. Lineage: Eukaryota; Metazoa; Mollusca; Bivalvia; Mytilida; Mytilidae. The transcript has 3 exons.
UAUACACUUUGAGAUGACCAUUGUUUACUUGCCAGCAGCAGAAAUCGAGAAAUGGAAUAUAUGAAAGUACUGUUGCAUGUGUUUUCUGGAAUGCCAAAUCCCGAAUAUAACAUUGAAAGCAAAGAUCCAGACUACAAUAGAAUAAAAGCCAUGUUACCAGAGCAAGGAAGUGUUCGUCUCCAAUCUGCUCUUGGCUAUCAAGGUUAUAUGAUUUUUAUCAUGCCAACUGGUAAAACGAAAAUAAAGGAGCGCCUUUAUAUGAUAGAAGUUCCGCGUGGAUUUAAUCCAGAUCUUGAAAAGUUACUGUUUAACAAGGGUGAAUUUGAUGAAGACUUAAGGAAAAUAGUAUAUGGUGAUCAAGAUCCAGGAUCUGAAUUCGGCCAGGAACCUAGGAGACACUUACAUAGAGACAUAUAGUAUAUAUAAUUUAUCAAAUCAAUAAUAAAAAUCAUUAUUUAAAAUAAGUAUUCCCUUAUCUGUAUUAUUUUGGACUACUUUGCAGUUCAAUAACUGAUUUCAAUUUGCAUCAAUAAAUUACAUUCUUACUUUUUUUUUUUAACUGCU